Molecule: long non-coding RNA, 1599 nt
Filed under: Ananas comosus (pineapple)
Lineage: Eukaryota; Viridiplantae; Streptophyta; Magnoliopsida; Poales; Bromeliaceae
Description: long non-coding RNA (ACOM_LNC020327)
Source: RNAcentral
AACUAGGAAAAACUUUAAAUAUCUUUCAUGUGGUUUCGCACUUUCUCUCUUUAGUACCAUGUGGUUUAAAAUGUAUCAAGUUAGUAUCCUGCGGUUUCGCAUUUUCUCACUUUAGUACCCUAUGGUUUAAUAUUUCGUUAAAUUAUAUACAAAAAACUUCAGAUAUCCUACAUAGGUUUAUCAAAUAUUAAUUUUAGUACCCUUUAGUUUUAAAUUUGUCACUGAUUUAACAAAAAAAUAUCUCGAAAUGGAUAAUAAAAAGAGAAAAAUAAAACCACAUGAUACUAACUUGAUACAAAAAUAAAAUCACAGAGUAGUAACUUGAUAUACGUUAAACCGCAGGGUACUAAAAUGAGAAAGUGAGAAACUGCAGCAUACUAACUUGAUACACUUUAAACCAUAGAAUAUUAAAAUGAAAAAAUACGAACCCACGGAGAGAUAUUUGAAGUUUUCCGUGAAAACUAAUACAUCAAAUAUAUUUUGUACGCCCGAGCCAAUCGUAACUAAUUUCUAACAUGAAUUUAAUUUUUUUCAAAGUUCUGCAUGGUACAAUUCAAUUAUAACCAUCUUGGUUUUUUAUUAUUGCCAACGUGGCACCACUCUCCGUACAUGCACGGAGAUUUUUUAAUUCGAAAGUGUCCUUGUGCAUGUACAGCUAAAGCUGAGCUGGAUGGUAGCUAGAUACUCAUGUGUUCUCACCGUCUCUACAGCACGCGGCAACUGACAAAGGACUUGGUGGUUGAUGAUACUCACGUGUUCUGACCGUCUCUACAGCAAGUGGCAACUGGCAAAGGACUUGGUGGUUGGUAUGCGAGAUUCUAAAUUCGAAUCCUAAUUAAUUCACAUUUUCAGCUAAGUUUAUUUCUAAAUAAAAUAAACGAAAUGAAUAGCAUGCUACCUAUCUCUCUCAAAAAAAGAAGAAAAGAUACUGAUGUGUUCUCAUAAUAUAUAUUGACCGUCUCUACAGCACGCGGCAACUGACAAAGGACUUGGUGGUUGAUACUCAUGUGUUUUGACCGUCUCUACAGCAAGUGGCAACUGGCAAAGGACUUGGCGGUUGGUAUGCGAGAUUCUAAAUUNUAUACCACCCAUCAAAUUUGAUGGAUCCUAAUAGCACAGUAGCCCUACUCUAUAUAUAUAUAAGUGAGAGAGAGAUAUAUAAGUUUAAUUUGGUAUUAAGAAUUAUCUGACGCUAUUAAAUAAAAUAAAGUUGAGAUAAAAAUAUGUAGAGAUAUAUUUCUACGUUCUUCGGUCGGACCAUAGAAAAUAUAUAAUAACCGACUCAUCGCAAUAUCCGAAAGGCAAAAUUACGCACGGAAAUAAACAUAAUAUUUUUCCAACGUAUUUUCUCACUGUACGUAAUGCAAUUUUUCCAUAAUGUCAAAUGAAGCUAUAGAGAGAUAUGUACAAAAUAAAAAAAAAGAGUCUAAAAUAUACCAGUUAUAUUACAGAUGUGACAGAUGUGACAUUUUCAACCAAGCAUAUUCUUGUCUCAUUAUGAUUAUUAAAAAAAUAUUUUUAUUGUACUUUAUUUUUUAAAUAGAGAGAUGUGAUUGACUGGUUAUUAAUAAUGUGGUGUAAGUUAUUACAUAGUAAAUU